AGUGAACGCUGGCGGUAGGCCUAACACAUGCAAGUCGAACGGCAGCACAGUAAGAGCUUGCUCUUACGGGUGGCGAGUGGCGGACGGGUGAGGAAUACAUCGGAAUCUACUUUUUCGUGGGGAUAACGUAGGGAAACUUACGCUAAUACCGCAUACGACCUACGGGUGAAAGCAGGGGAUCUUCGGACCUUGCGCGAUUGAAUGAGCCGAUGUCGGAUUAGCUAGUUGGCGGGGUAAAGGCCCACCAAGGCGACGAUCCGUAGCUGGUCUGAGAGGAUGAUCAGCCACACUGGAACUGAGACACGGUCCAGACUCCUACGGGAGGCAGCAGUGGGGAAUAUUGGACAAUGGGCGCAAGCCUGAUCCAGCCAUACUGCGUGGGUGAAGAAGGCCUUCGGGUUGUAAAGCCCUUUUGUUGGGAAAGAAAAGCAGCAGGUUAAUACCCCGCUGUUCUGACGGUACCCAAAGAAUAAGCACCGGCUAACUUCGUG
Molecule: ribosomal RNA, 491 nt
Filed under: uncultured bacterium
Lineage: Bacteria
Description: partial 16S ribosomal RNA
Rfam family: Bacterial small subunit ribosomal RNA
Source: RNAcentral